GUGCCGUCCUGUCUCAGAUUAGCCAUGCAUGUGUAAGUAUAAGCGAUUGUACUGUGAGACUGCGAACGGCUCAUUAUAUCAGUAAUAAUUUCUUCGGUAGUUUCUUUUAUAUGGAUACCUGCAGUAAUUCUGGAAAUAAUACAUGCUGUAAGAGCCCUGUAUGGGGCUGCACUUAUUAGAUUGAAGCCGAUUUUAUUGGUGAAUCAUGAUAAUUGAGCAGAUUGACUUUUUUGGUCAAUGAAUCGUUUGAUUUUCUGCCCCAUCAUUUGUCAACGGUAGGGUAUUGGACUACGGGGACUAUAACGGGGGACGGAAAGUUAGGGCUCGACCCCGGAAAGGGAGCCUGAAAAACGGCUACCAUUUCCAAGGAUAGCACCAGGGGCGUAAAUUACCCACUGGGGACUCCACGAGGUAUUGACAAGAAAUAUCGAUGCGAAGCGGGUAUGCUUUUUGCUUUCGGAAUGAAAGCAAUGUAAAACCCUCAUCGAGGAUCAACUGGAGGGCAAGUCUGGGGCCAGCAGCCGCGGUAAUUCCAGCUCGCAGACCGGAUACGCAGCAUGCUAAAGUUGUUGCAGUUAAAAGCUCGUAGUUGAAUUUCUGGCAUGGGCGACCGGGCUUUCCCUGAAUGGGAAUUGAUUGUCGGGUUGCCUUGGCCACUUUUUCUUUCAUGUAUUAAGUGAGAAAUCUUUCACUAUAUCAAAGCAAAUGUUUCAAGCAGGUCGUAUGACCGGUAUGUUAUAUAGGAUGAUAGAUAGGACUGGGGGCAUAUUUGUUGGUUGCCACGCCUGAGUAUAGUUAAAUAGGACACAUUGGGGGAUUCUGUAUUUAGAGCAUAGAGGGGAAUCUCUGGAUUCCGGAAGACGCAACUAGAGCGAGAGCCAUUACCCAACAAGUGUUCAUAUAUAAAAACGAAAUGUCUGGGGAUCAAAUAGGAUGAUACAGUCCCUUUGUAGUUUGACCCUAAACGAUCCCACUGUCGAUUUUGGGUCUCUUUUUAAUGGCCUACGGACGCAUGAUCACGCUGGGAAAUCCAGAAUGUCAGCGUACCAGGGGGAUUACGAGUACCAAGGUACUGAAAUGAAACGAAUCGACGUCGAAGUGAUGCACCCCCCAGGAGGGGACCCUGGGGCUUAAUUUGAUUCACCCGGGGAAAACUUCCCAGGUCCAACCUUAGGUAGGAUUGACGGAUUGGGGGUUUUUUCAGGAUUUUUGGGGGGGGGGGCCAGGCCCGUUUUUAGUUGGGGGAGGGAUUUUUUGGGUUAAUUCCGUUAACGAAGGGACCCUUGCCCUAUUAAAAAGGGGGGGGUAGGGCAACAAAGUCGGUUUUAACUUUUUAAAGGGACAUUUCCGGUUUACGGGCCGGAAGUUGGGGGCAAAAACCGGUUUGGGAUGCCCUUAAAUUUUUUGGGCCCCCCCCCCCUUCCCCUGAUGGGUUCAUCGGGUUUUAAUUUUAAUUUUUGGAAUUGAGUGCUUGGUCGGAAGGCCUGGCUAAUCCUUGGAACGCUCAUCGUGCUGGGGCUAGAUUUUUGCAAUUAUUAAUCUCCAACGAGGAAUUCCUAGUAAACGCAAGUCAUCAGCUUGCAUUGAAUACGUCCCUGCCCUUUGUACACACCGCCCGUCGCACCUACCGAUUGAACGGUCCGAUGAAACCAUGGGAUGUUUCUGUUUGGAUUAAUUUUUGGACAGAGGCAGAACUCGGGUGAAUCUUAUGUAAGAACAUUCUUU
This 1725-nucleotide ribosomal RNA is filed under the name Aurantiochytrium sp. RNAcentral describes it as "partial small subunit ribosomal RNA". It matches the Rfam family "Eukaryotic small subunit ribosomal RNA". Lineage: Eukaryota; Bigyra; Thraustochytrida; Thraustochytriidae. The record is from RNAcentral.